Molecule: long non-coding RNA, 275 nt
Filed under: Ananas comosus (pineapple)
Lineage: Eukaryota; Viridiplantae; Streptophyta; Magnoliopsida; Poales; Bromeliaceae
Description: long non-coding RNA (ACOM_LNC001754)
Source: RNAcentral
AUAUAUAUAUAUAUAUAUAUAGAGAGAGAGAGAGAGAGAGAGAGAGAGUGUAGAGCUACUAUGCUAUGGGAAGUAUAAAGUGGUUCGUGCUUUCGAUAUUUUGGCCCUUAGAUCAACCUAAUUGAUCAUUUCUAACCAUUGGAUUAAUAUUAUUGACCACUCAACCCUAGGGGACCUCGAUCAUUCCAACCGUAGAAUUUUUAUCCAAAGACUAAAAAAUCGGAAGCACCAACUAUUUUAUGUUUCCGAUAGUAUAGUAGCUCUACACUAACUAU